This 425-nucleotide ribosomal RNA is filed under the name uncultured bacterium. Its description in RNAcentral is "bacterial SSU rRNA". It matches the Rfam family "Bacterial small subunit ribosomal RNA", at positions 359 to 775 of the family's 1533-position model. The record is from RNAcentral.
GAAUAUUGCGCAAUGGGGGAAACCCUGACGCAGCAACGCCGCGUGAGUGAGGAAGGUCUUCGGAUUGUAAAACUCUUUUAUUAGGGAAAAAUUGCUCAGUGGUUAAUACCCAUUGAGUUUGAUGGUACCUAAGGAAUAAGCACCGGCUAACUUCGUGCCAGCAGCCGCGGUAAUACGAAGGGUGCAAGCGUUGUUCGGAAUCAUUGGGCGUAAAGCGAGCGCAGGCGGAUUGAUAAGUCAGGUGUGAAAUCUCGAGGCUCAACCUCGAAACUGCGCCUGAAACUAUUAGUCUAGAAUGUCGGAGGGGAUAGGGGAAUUUCACGUGUAGGGGUAAAAUCCGUAGAGAUGUGAAGGAACACCGGAGGCGAAGGCGCCUAUCUGGACGACUAUUGACGCUGAGGCUCGAAAGCGUGGGGAGCAAACAG